This 410-nucleotide ribosomal RNA is filed under the name uncultured bacterium. RNAcentral's name for it is "bacterial SSU rRNA". It matches the Rfam family "Bacterial small subunit ribosomal RNA", at positions 355 to 765 of the family's 1533-position model. The record is from RNAcentral.
UGAGGAAUAUUGCACAAUGGGCGCAAGCCUGAUGCAGCGACGCCGCGUGUGGGAUGAAGGGGCUACGCCUCGUAAACCACUGUAGCCCGGGACGAAAAACGCCUUAGAGGCGUUAGACGGUACCGGGAAAGUAAGGGUCGGCUAACUACGUGCCAGCAGCCGCGGUAAUACGUAGGACCCAAGCGUUGUCCGGAUUUACUGGGUGUAAAGGGUGCGCAGGCGGAUGGGUAAGUCAGGGGUGAAAGUCUGCAGCGUAACUGUAGAAUUGCCUUUGAUACUGCUCAUCUUGAGUGUGGGAGAGGUUGAUGGAAUUCCAGGUGUAGCGGUGAAAUGCGUAGAUAUCAGGAGGAACACCGGCGGUGUAGACGGCUUGCUAGACCAUAACUGACGCUGAGGCAAGAAAGCGUGGG